This 490-nucleotide long non-coding RNA is filed under the name Brachypodium distachyon (stiff brome). Its description in RNAcentral is "long non-coding RNA (BDIS_LNC005506)". The record is from RNAcentral. Lineage: Eukaryota; Viridiplantae; Streptophyta; Magnoliopsida; Poales; Poaceae.
UGGCAGGAUCCGGAAUGGUCAUCCAACCUUGUUCGUCGUUUUUUUCUUCCGGACGGUGGUCUGGUUCUCAGAUCACUAUCGACGGCGUCUUCUGGCUCCGACCGGCGACUUCCCGACUGCUACGUCAACACACUGUCCUUUUUUUUUUACUUUAAAGAUGGUGUUGUAAGAGUUGGUUGAUUUUAAUAUAUGACCUUAGCCUCCUUGAAAUUUUUUUGCUGGUUUUACCUGCAGCUAAUGAAGCAAAUUAGUAAUACUCUGGCGCCCGACGCCCUGACCCACAUCGCAGACCCACAUGUGUGUGUGCUCCGGCCGCACGUCGCACGCAGCGCACAUGUCAUGGCUAACGGGUCGGGUCAAUUGGCUGACACGGCGCCUGACAAGCAGGACCCACAUGUAAGAAUACUGUCAAAAUGACUUGAACGGUUAUUUUGACCGAGGUGAGACAUUUACUCAAAACCCGUGGUUUUUAGGACAAAAUAGUAACAUA